This 98-nucleotide non-coding RNA is filed under the name Jiulongibacter sediminis. RNAcentral describes it as "Leadbetterella sp. JN14-9 TPP riboswitch aptamer (THI element)". It matches the Rfam family "TPP riboswitch aptamer (THI element)". Rfam says of the family: Vitamin B(1) in its active form thiamin pyrophosphate (TPP) is an essential coenzyme that is synthesised by coupling of pyrimidine and thiazole moieties in bacteria. The previously detected thiamin-regulatory element, thi box was extended, resulting in a new, highly conserved RNA secondary structure, the THI element, which is widely distributed in eubacteria and also occurs in some archaea. The record is from Rfam by way of RNAcentral. RNAcentral also lists the same sequence under 1 other name. Lineage: Bacteria; Pseudomonadati; Bacteroidota; Cytophagia; Cytophagales; Leadbetterellaceae.
AAAUCUCAAAAGGGGUGCCUUAACAAAACGGGCUGAGAUCAUACCCAUAGAACCUGAUGCGGUUAGAACCGACGCAGGGAAUUUGAGAAGAGUUAGUG